CUUCACCGAGCCCAGCCACAGCGGGGUUUCCCGGUCCUGGCCGUAGGUGGCCAGCAGCGCCUGCGCCUC
This 69-nucleotide antisense RNA is filed under the name Amycolatopsis rifamycinica. Its description in RNAcentral is "Aspks sRNA". It matches the Rfam family "ASpks TB sRNA". Lineage: Bacteria; Bacillati; Actinomycetota; Actinomycetes; Pseudonocardiales; Pseudonocardiaceae. The record is from RNAcentral.